RNAcentral lists this ribosomal RNA (320 nucleotides) under uncultured eukaryote. RNAcentral describes it as "partial 18S ribosomal RNA". It matches the Rfam family "Eukaryotic small subunit ribosomal RNA", at positions 1470 to 1796 of the family's 1831-position model. The record is from RNAcentral.
CCCCUAGAUGUUCUGGGCCGCACGCGCGCUACACUGAACAGUUCAACAAGUCUUAACCUUGGCCGAUAGGUCUGGGUAAUCUUUGAACGCUGUUCGUGAUUGGGAUAGACCUUUGCAAUUAUGGGUCUUCAACGAGGAAUUCCUAGUAAACGCAAGUCAUCAGCUUGCAUUGAUUAAGUCCCUGCCCUUUGUACACACCGCCCGUCGCACCUACCGAUUGAAUGGUCCGGUGAAAUCUCGGGACGGCGGCUUGGUCGCUUGCGUCCGACUGCUGAAACUUGAUUAAACCAUAUCAUUUAGAGGAAGGUGAAGUCGUAACA